This is a long non-coding RNA of Hevea brasiliensis (rubber tree), 502 nucleotides long. RefSeq lists it as uncharacterized. The transcript has 2 exons. The record is from RefSeq and is a predicted model, not a curated record. NCBI's taxonomy places the organism in Eukaryota, Viridiplantae, Streptophyta, Magnoliopsida, Malpighiales, Euphorbiaceae.
GAUUGAUUUGAUGGGCCCAGGAGGGGCUGUGUGAUAUGAUUGAACUGUUGAUAUAUGGAUUGUGAAUAUAGAAGUGCGUUUUUUAGCCCUUUUGCAGGUUGGGUAGGUCCUAGGUACAGGGGAGACUCUGCCGGAUUUUCGGCACGACUUAGGACGUACUUGAUCUUUUUCUUUGUUUGUAUUGAGUCAAAUUUAUUAAAUAGAUGUAAUGUAAUUGUCAGGUGAGCCGGGACAGCCUUCUUCCUCCGCCCAGCCGCCACAGUAAUUUGUCGUCAAGUUUGCCGCAGGAGGAUAUUUUAUUCUGGGUUAACCUGCUUUUAUACUUCGCAGGUUGUUUAUCGAUAUUUGUGUAAUUUUAUUUACUCCUAGAAUUUCCGCAUGUGUUAGCAGUAAUUAUUUGAAUUUGGUCUGUAAUAUUAUUAUCAUGUUGGACCUGUAAACUUAAUAUUUUAAGUCUGUUUUGAUGGAUUGGAUGAGGGAGCUGAGCUCCCAUUUAUUAUUA